Molecule: long non-coding RNA, 1611 nt
Organism: Oncorhynchus keta (chum salmon)
Lineage: Eukaryota; Metazoa; Chordata; Actinopteri; Salmoniformes; Salmonidae
Exons: 3
Source: RefSeq, a predicted model, not a curated record
AUGUGCAUGAAGAACCAGGACAACAUAAUCUAUACAUCUCCGCAGAGUGUGCAUGAAGAACCAGGAAAACAUAUCUAUACAUCUCCACAGAGUGUGCAUGAAGAACCAGGAAAACAUCAUCUAUACAUCUCCACAGAGUGUGCAUGAAGAACCAGGAAAACAUAUCUAUACAUCUCCGCAGAGUGUGCAUGAAGAACCAGGAAAACAUAUCUAUACAUCUCCACAGAGUGUGCAUGAAGAACCAGGAAAACAUAAUCUAUACAUCUCCACAGAGUGUGCAUGAAGAACCAGGAAAACAUAUCUAUACAUCUCCACAGAGUGUGCAUGAAGAACCAGGAAAACAUAAUCUAUACAUCUCCACAGAGUGUGCAUGAAGAACCAGGAAAACAUAUCUAUACAUCUCCACAGAGUGUGCAUGAAGAACCAGGAAAACAUAUCUAUACAUCUCCACAGAGUGUGCAUAAAGAACCAGGAACACAUAUCUAUACAUCUCCACAGAGUGUGCAUGAAGAACCAGGAAAACAUAUCUAUACAUCUCCACAGAGUGUGCAUGAAGAACCAGGAAAACAUAUCUAUACAUCUCCACAGAGUGUGCAUGAAGACAGAAUCAAAACCAAAGAUUGAUCAGGAAGUUCAUAAUUCCCGCGAUUCCAUGGUAGAGCAUCUUUGGCACGGCAGGAUCAUUGACUACAGAAUACUCAGCUGUAUUGUGACACAACAGGACGCACUCCAACCUCUGAUUAAGAAUCGUGAACAAAUGGGUCAUUUUGUUAUGAACAAGCCAGAAGACAAUCAAAUAACUGGCCAAGUGGAAGUGGCUCAAGUGUUGGUACCAACUACAGAUGAACAUAUAGAUGAAGAGUCAGACGUCAACAUGGACGAUGACCAGUCGACGUUGUACCAACCAUAUUUUCCAGACCAUUGAACCAGUCAUGGGACACCACACUGAGAAAGGGGAUGCAAAGCUGUGGUUUGUACCAAAAGCCCCCUCUGGAUUGUGAUCUGAUGGCUGGAUUUGGGAAAUAUCUCCGUGACGACAACAACAUUCCCCAUUUCAAACAGGAGGUUUGUACAGAGAUUUUACUUUCAUUUAACUGUUUACAUAUUUUAAUGAGAAUUAAUAGAUUUUAAAGUAGUUAUUAACUAUGUAAUUAAUAUUAUUUUCAUGUUUCAUGCCGAGAGAGACAGAGAGGAUCUAUUACAUGAAUUUAUGUUUAUUUGUGAUGGCAGAGAGGGAUUUGGGUCACAGGUGUCACGCCUUGGUCUUAGUAUUUUGUGUUUUCUUUAAUUAUUUGUUCAGGCCAGGGUGUGACAUGGGGUUAUUGUAUUGUCGUAUUGGGGUUUUUGUAGGCAUUGGGAUUGUGGUUGAUUAGGGGUGUGUCUAGUAUAGGCUUGGCUGCCUGAGGCGGUUCUCAAUCAGAGUCAGGUGAUUCUUGUUGUCUCUGAUUGGGAACCGUAUUUAGGUAGCCUGGGUUUCACUGUGUAUUUCGUGGGUGAUUGUUCCUGUCUCUGUGUAGUUUCACCAGAUAGGCUGUAAUAAGUUUCGCGUUCCGUUUGUUGUUUUGUUUAUUCAGUUAUUUAAUGUAUCGUCAUUUCAUUCAUUAAAGACAU